RNAcentral lists this ribosomal RNA (1524 nucleotides) under uncultured Gammaproteobacteria bacterium. RNAcentral's name for it is "bacterial SSU rRNA". It matches the Rfam family "Bacterial small subunit ribosomal RNA". Lineage: Bacteria; Pseudomonadati; Pseudomonadota; Gammaproteobacteria. The record is from RNAcentral.
AGAGUUUGAUCCUGGCUCAGAAUGAACGCUGGCGGCGUGCUUAACACAUGCAAGUCGUACGAGAACUCUUCUGCUUGCAGAAGAUAGUAAAGUGGCGCACGGGUGAGUAACGCGUGGGUAAUCUACCCUCAAAUCGGGGAUAACAUUGCGAAAGCGAUGCUAAUACCGGAUGUGAUUUGUUUUUCUUAAGAGAAUAAAUCAAAGGUGGUCUCUACAUGUAAACUACUGUUUGAGGAUGAGCCCGCGUACCAUUAGCUUGUUGGUGAGGUAAGAGCUCACCAAGGCAACGAUGGUUAGCUGGUCUGAGAGGAUGAUCAGCCACACUGGAACUGAAACACGGUCCAGACUCCUACGGGAGGCAGCAGUGGGGAAUAUUGGACAAUGGGCGCAAGCCUGAUCCAGCAAUGCCGCGUGUGUGAAGAAGGCCUGAGGGUUGUAAAGCACUUUCAAUUGUGAAGAAGGUUAGGAAGUUAAUAGCUACCUAAUUUGACGUUAACUUUAGAAGAAGCACCGGCUAACUCUGUGCCAGCAGCCGCGGUAAUACAGAGGGUGCAAGCGUUAAUCGGAAUUACUGGGCGUAAAGCGCGCGUAGGCGGUUUGUUAAGUUGGAUGUGAAAGCCCCGGGCUCAACCUGGGAUGGUCAUUCAAUACUGGCGAGCUAGAGUGUGGUAGAGGACAAUGGAAUUCCUAGUGUAGCGGUGAAAUGCGUAGAUAUUAGGAGGAACAUCAGUGGCGAAGGCGAUUGUCUGGGCUGACACUGACGCUGCGGUGCGAAAGCGUGGGUAGCGAACAGGAUUAGAUACCUUGGUAGUCCCACGCCGUAAACGAUGUCAACUAGCCGUUGGACUCAUUAAAGGGUUUAGUGGCGCAGCUAACGCGAUAAGUUGACCGCCUGGGGAGUACGGCCGCAAGGUUAAAACUCAAAGGAAUUGACGGGGGCCCGCACAAGCGGUGGAGCAUGUGGUUUAAUUCGAUGCAACGCGAAGAACCUUACCAGCCCUUGACAUCCUCGGAACUUGGCAGAGAUGCCUUGGUGCCUUCGGGAACCGAGAGACAGGUGCUGCAUGGCUGUCGUCAGCUCGUGUCGUGAGAUGUUGGGUUAAGUCCCGUAACGAGCGCAACCCUUGCCCUUAGUUGCCAGCACAUUAUGGUGGGAACUCUAAGGGGACUGCCGGUGACAAACCGGAGGAAGGCGGGGAUGACGUCAAGUCAUCAUGGCCCUUAUGGGCUGGGCUACACACGUGCUACAAUGGCCAGUACAGAGGGUUGCCAAGCCGUGAGGUGGAGCUAAUCCCACAAAGCUGGUCGUAGUCCGGAUUGCAGUCUGCAACUCGACUGCAUGAAGUCGGAAUCGCUAGUAAUCGCGAAUCAGCAUGUCGCGGUGAAUACGUUCCCGGGCCUUGUACACACCGCCCGUCACACCAUGGGAGUGGGUUGCAAAAGAAGUGGGUAGCUUAACCUUCGGGAGGGCGCUCACCACUUUGUGAUUCAUGACUGGGGUGAAGUCGUAACAAGGUAACCGUA